This 99-nucleotide ribosomal RNA is filed under the name Columba livia (rock pigeon). Lineage: Eukaryota; Metazoa; Chordata; Aves; Columbiformes; Columbidae. The record is from RNAcentral.
CAAUACAGCCAUAGCACCCUGAGAACGCCCCAUCUGGUCUGAUCUGGGAAGCUAAGCAGGGUCGGGCCUGGUCAGUACUUGGAUGGGAGACCGUACAGA